AGAGUUUGAUCCUGGCUCAGGAUGAACGCUGGCGGCGUGCCUAACACAUGCAAGUUGAGCGAUUUACUUCGGUAAAGAGCGGCGGACGGGUGAGUAACGCGUGGGUAACCUACCCUGUACACACGGAUAACAUACCGAAAGGUAUGCUAAUACGGGAUAAUAUAUUUGAGAGGCAUCUCUUAAAUAUCAAAGGUGAGCCAGUACAGGAUGGACCCGCGUCUGAUUAGCUAGUUGGUAAGGUAACGGCUUACCAAGGCGACGAUCAGUAGCCGACCUGAGAGGGUGAUCGGCCACAUUGGAACUGAGACACGGUCCAAACUCCUACGGGAGGCAGCAGUGGGGAAUAUUGCACAAUGGGCGAAAGCCUGAUGCAGCAACGCCGCGUGAGUGAUGAAGGCCUUCGGGUCGUAAAACUCUGUCCUCAAGGAAGAUAAUGACGGUACUUGAGGAGGAAGCCCCGGCUAACUACGUGCCAGCAGCCGCGGUAAUACGUAGGGGGCUAGCGUUAUCCGGAUUUACUGGGCGUAAAGGGUGCGUAGGCGGUCUUUCAAGUCAGGAGUGAAAGGCUACGGCUCAACCGUAGUAAGCUCUUGAAACUGGGAGACUUGAGUGCAGGAGAGGAGAGUGGAAUUCCUAGUGUAGCGGUGAAAUGCGUAGAUAUUAGGAGGAACACCAGUUGCGAAGGCGGCUCUCUGGACUGUAACUGACGCUGAGGCACGAAAGCGUGGGGAGCAAACAGGAUUAGAUACCCUGGUAGUCCACGCUGUAAACGAUGAGUACUAGGUGUCGGGGGUUACCCCCUUCGGUGCCGCAGCU
Molecule: ribosomal RNA, 816 nt
Filed under: Clostridioides difficile
Lineage: Bacteria; Bacillati; Bacillota; Clostridia; Peptostreptococcales; Peptostreptococcaceae
Description: bacterial SSU rRNA
Rfam family: Bacterial small subunit ribosomal RNA
Source: RNAcentral